GUAGGGUGCGAGCGUUGCCCGGAUUUAUUGGGCGUAAAGGGCGCGCAGGCGGCUGCGCACGUUCGCUGUGAAAGCUCCCGGCUCAACUGGGAGAGGUCGGCGGAUACGGCGCAGCUGGAGCUCGGUAGGGGGUCGUGGAAUUCCCGGUGUAGUGGUGGAAUGCGUAGAUAUCGGGAGGAACACCAGUGGCGAAGGCGGCUCUCUAGUACGUGACUGACGCUGAGACGCGAAAGCGUGGGGAGCGAACAGGAUUAGAUACCCUGGUAGUCCACGCUGUAAACGAUGGGUGCUAGGUGUAGGGGGUGUCGACUCCCUCUGUGCCGAAGCUAACGCAUUAAGCACCCCGCCUGGGGAGUACGGCCGCAAGGCUA
Molecule: ribosomal RNA, 371 nt
Filed under: uncultured bacterium
Lineage: Bacteria
Description: bacterial SSU rRNA
Rfam family: Bacterial small subunit ribosomal RNA
Source: RNAcentral